UCCCAAUUUGAAACACUGGGUUUUGGGUU
This 29-nucleotide non-coding RNA is filed under the name Rattus norvegicus (Norway rat). Lineage: Eukaryota; Metazoa; Chordata; Mammalia; Rodentia; Muridae. The record is from RNAcentral.